GGAUAACUUUUGGAAACCGAUAGCUAAUACCCGCAUAAUAUUAAUUAUUGCAUGAUAAUUGAUUGAAAGAUACAAGCGCAUCACUAGUAGAUGGACCUGCGUUGUAUUAGCUAGUUGGUAAGGUAAGAGCUUACCAAGGCGACGAUACAUAGCCGACCUGAGAGGGUGAUCGGCCACACUGGGACUGAGACACGGCCCAGACUCCCUACGGGAGGCGGCAGUAGGGAAUCUUCGGCAAUGGACGAAAGUCUGACCGAGCAACGCCGCGUGAGUGAAGAAGGUUUUCGGAUCGUAAAGCUCUGUUGUAAGUCAAGAACGGGUGUGAGAGUGGAAAGUUACACAGUGACGUAGCUACCAGAA
Molecule: ribosomal RNA, 360 nt
Filed under: Streptococcus mutans
Lineage: Bacteria; Bacillati; Bacillota; Bacilli; Lactobacillales; Streptococcaceae
Description: bacterial SSU rRNA
Rfam family: Bacterial small subunit ribosomal RNA
Source: RNAcentral